GAAAUACCUUGAAUAUAA
Molecule: small nuclear RNA, 18 nt
Filed under: Arabidopsis thaliana (thale cress)
Lineage: Eukaryota; Viridiplantae; Streptophyta; Magnoliopsida; Brassicales; Brassicaceae
Description: snRNA_04658
Source: RNAcentral